CCGGUUGAUCCUGCCGGACCUGACUGCUAUCGGAUUGGUACUAAGCCAUGCGAGUCAUUGUAGCAAUACAAGGCGGACGGCUCAGUAACACGUAGUCAACCUAACUCGUGGACGUGGAUAACCUCGGGAAACUGAGAAUAAACCACGAUAGAUCAUAGUGCCUGGAAUGGCUUAUGGUCCAAACAGUUUACUGCCAUGGGAUGGGACUGCGGCCUAUCAGCUUGUUGGUGAGGUAAUGGCCCACCAAGGCGAUUACAGGUACGGGCUCUGAGAGNAGAAGCCCGGAGAUGGGUACUGAGACACGGACCCAGGCCCUAUGGGGCGCAGCAGGCGAGAAACCUUAGCAAUGUGCGAAAGCACGACUGGGUCAGUCCGAGUGAUUCCUGAUAAAGGAGUCUUUUGCUUGUCCUAAAAGCACAGGUGAAUAAGGGGUGGGCAAGUCUGGUGUCAGCCGCCGCGGUAAUACCAGCACCUCGAGUGGUCAGGACGUUUAUUGGGCCUAAAGCAUCCGUAGCCGGCUCUGCAAGUCUUCGGUUAAAUCCACCUGCUCAACAGAUGGGCCGCUGGAGAUACUACAGAGCUAGGGAGUGGGAGAGGCAGACGGUAUUCAGUGGGUAGGGGUAAAAUCCUCUGAUCCAUUGAGGACCACCAGUGGCGAAGGCGGUCUGCCAGAACACGUUCGACGGUGAGGGAUGAAAGCUGGGGGAGCAAACCGGAUUGGAUACCCGGGUAGUCCCAGCUGUAAACGAUGCAAACUCGGUGAUGCAUUGGCUUAUGGCCAAUGCAGUGCCGCAGGGAAGCCGUUAAGUUUGCCGCCUGGGAAGUACGGACGCAAGUCUGAAACUUAAAGGAAUUGGCGGGGGAGCACCACAAGGGGUGAAGCCUGCGGUUCAAUUGGAUUCAACGCCGGA
This 911-nucleotide ribosomal RNA is filed under the name uncultured archaeon. RNAcentral's name for it is "bacterial SSU rRNA". It matches the Rfam family "Archaeal small subunit ribosomal RNA", at positions 4 to 922 of the family's 1478-position model. The record is from RNAcentral.